AAGAUUCCACUCAAAUAAUAUUAAAAAAUGAUAAUAUUAAUCUUUAUUAUCAGAUCAAUUUCGAUGCAUGGGACACUCUCUCAAUUAUCUUAUCUCCAUAGAUUUUUUUAAUAAUCUACAGUGGUUUAAGAUAUGUAAUAAUCCAUGAUCGGUGCUAGACUUCGCAAAUGGCUUCACGCCGAACAUCUCUAGAUCCUUUUAUGCUUUGUGCUCAGUCCAAUGACAGGCACCGGAUAUUGGGCUGGUCUUCAUUGGAUAUGUGAUAGCCCCACCUCCCCUAAGGCGAACCAAAGGGUUCGGCGGACCGCCUGCCCAACUCUCGUCGGGACUCACUCACUUACUACUUACUACAGUCAUCAAACAAAUUACAAUAUAAAUCUCAAAUAUUACAUCAAAUUUCCCAAGAAUUACAUAUCAUAAGCGAAACAGAAACUAAUUCCCAACUAUACAUAAAAUGAUUCCAAAUCCAAAUGGUACGAGAUAUAUGCCAUCCAGUCACGUGAAUAAGUACUACAAGCCCUUCCUUCGCCUCGAGCCCUGUGGAGGGAAAUAAAAUAUUUUUUUGGGGUGAGCUAGAAACUCAGCGAGUAACCAGUCAAAUCAGUAAUCAAAUCAGUUUCACAAUAGUUCAUUUCAAUGAUGUUAUGAAUCAGUAAUCAAAUGUACGUUUAUUGCUCUCAUGAGCCAGUGAAAUCAUUGUACUUAAACAUCCAACGCUCAAAUAGAUCCAGUAGCAGUGAAACAAUAAGAGGGAGCCAUUUGCUCCAAAUGAACAGAGGUGGAGACGUUGGUGUUCAGUACAGACUUCCCAAGAACUCAGUUAAGCCAAAUCAUGUCAUGAACUCGCAUGCGACACACAUGAUAUGCAGUCGAGUAAAUAAUGCAAGAAACAUUUCAAAAGUACUUUAGAAACAGUUUAGGGUCACUCACCAACCACGGCUCAGGAACCAUCAAUCAUACGUCAUUGCCUUGCUCAAGUCCAAGCCCUUCAACUCAAACUCAAAGCAAUCAAAUGCUUUCAAAGAUCGGACAGCAUUUCCCCUACAUUUCCUUACUUUUCCAUACAAGCAACAACAAUUCAUCUUAAAUCAACCACAUACACAUCAUAGACUAUCAAAUACAUCUUUCGGCACAAUAUCCAUAACUGAAGCUACACUUAUCGGAUUGAAACGAAUCUUAUGGCGUUUCGAAACCAAGACAUAAACCUACAUUUCUUAUGAAGACCUCCAAAGCCAAAUCAUGCAAUUUCAUAGUCAAAAAUGGAAAACUCCACGAAAACAGAAAUCUGGGCGCGAAACCGGGUUCAUGGGCAGUCAAGGGUAUUUCGGUCAUUUCACAGGUUACAGUACUCAGAUCGAGCUGAAAUUUUACAGGAAGCUAGCUAACACCAUUUUCUACAACUUACAUGUUUUAACCUAAGCCUGAUUCGGCCUCUAACAUGCUCAAAUAAAUCCGGUCAGAACAGGGCAGAUUUGAAACCCAAACCUGAAAUUUCCGCACAAAGCUGAAAUUUUCCACAAAUAACCGCAAUUAAUGCACAAGAGAGCUAUUUAACACCAUUUAGAACCAUCAAUUCAAGACUAACCAUAUCCAUCAUAGGAAAACAGAAAAAUCCCAAAAAAAAUCAGAAAUUUAACUAACUUCACUUUAAUCCAAGAAAUCUUCCAUAAAAUCACCUCUUAAACCAACACAAGUCACUAAUAAACCAUUAUUAAGAACAAAGAAUGGAUUGCUAGACAUGAUACCUUGAAAUCUCAAGAAAGGUGAUGGCUUAGAGUUCUUCUUCCCAAAUUAGCUCCACAAACACCUUGGAAUCUCCUUAGUAAACAACUUUUAUGGAGUAAUUUGCAAUUCUAUCGGUUAGAACUUAAGAUUGGAGUAAGAAAUUGGAGUGAAAGAUGAAGGUUUUUCUCUCUCUCUUGCUCUCAAAGUUUCAGCCAUAAGAAGGAGAAAAUGGCUUGAUUUUUGGUCAAAU
RNAcentral lists this long non-coding RNA (1975 nucleotides) under Coffea arabica (coffee). RNAcentral's name for it is "long non-coding RNA (CARA_LNC008260)". The record is from RNAcentral. Lineage: Eukaryota; Viridiplantae; Streptophyta; Magnoliopsida; Gentianales; Rubiaceae.